CUGUGAGGUAUUGCUUUAGUUUCUUCGAGUCGUCGUGACGAGUCAAGAGCAAGCAAAAACGAAGUUGAUUCUGGUUUUAUUUGGUGUGUUUCAGUCGCUUCUUUAAAGUUACAACAUGAAGUCAAAGCUAAUCUUGGUGUUGGCCGUUUUGCUUUUGUUAGGGGCUGUUUCUGUUCCUGCUGAGCCCUAUCCSAGACGACGUAGAUUCGGUAAAAAGCUCAACAAAAAAGAAAAUCAACCCGCCAAUCGUCAGCAGCUCUCUGACACUGCGCCCUUGGAUGACGACCAGAGAWUGCCUUACUAUACUGACUGAUAAAAUGAAAGUAAAUUUGCAUCGAGCAAAAAUUAAAUAAAGAACGUUAAAGGAUA
Long non-coding RNA from Exaiptasia diaphana, 369 nucleotides. RefSeq lists it as uncharacterized. Lineage: Eukaryota; Metazoa; Cnidaria; Anthozoa; Actiniaria; Aiptasiidae. The transcript is spliced from 3 exons. The record is from RefSeq and is a predicted model, not a curated record.